This is a small nucleolar RNA of Phoenix dactylifera (date palm), 90 nucleotides long. NCBI's taxonomy places the organism in Eukaryota, Viridiplantae, Streptophyta, Magnoliopsida, Arecales, Arecaceae. The record is from RefSeq and is a predicted model, not a curated record.
GUUCUAUUUGAUGAGCAUCUAGACAGCUUCAAAACGCCAGUUCUGCUUUAGAAAAUUCAUGACAGAAGAAGCUGAUAAAAAAAUCUGAGC